RNAcentral lists this unclassified non-coding RNA (395 nucleotides) under soil metagenome. RNAcentral's name for it is "partial contains 5.8S ribosomal RNA, internal transcribed spacer 2, and large subunit ribosomal RNA". The stretch from base 1 to 122 matches the Rfam family "5.8S ribosomal RNA", at positions 35 to 154 of the family's 154-position model. The record is from RNAcentral.
GAUGAAGAACGUAGUAAAAUGCGAUACUUGGUGUGAAUUGCAGAAUCCCGUGAACCAUCGAGUCUUUGAACGCAAGUUGCGCCCGAAGCCAUCAGGUUGAGGGCACGUCUGCCUGGGCGUCACAUAUCGUUGCCCAAUGCCUAUUGCAGUGCAAUAGGAAUUUCUAGGGCGAAUGAUGGCUUCCCGUGAGCGUUGUUGCCUCGCGGUUGGUUGAAAAUCGAGUCCUUGGUAGGGUGUGCCAUGGUAGAUGGUGGUCGAGUUAGAACGAUACCGAUCAUGUGCAUGCUCCCCAAAAUAUGGCCUCUAUGACCCACACGCGUCUUUUGACGCUCAUGACGAGACCUCAGGUCAGGCGGGGCUACCCGCUGAAUUUAAGCAUAUCAAUAAGCGGAGGA